UCUACAUAAGCACUGACCUAGGAUGAUGUAAAUUUGGUUCGUGAUAUUUCCUAGUUUUAUUUUUAAAAAAUACAUGCAAUACAUUAGAUUAAUAUACAAAGUUGGUUUCGCUGGGGUUUUUGUUGGUGUUGGUGGCACUGAUGCCGUGAUGGUCUUCCUUCGGUGCCGCUUGUGGUAUUCUGGUAUUUUGGUCACAUUAGGUGAAAAUGUGUGGUUCAAUAGAUAUCGCCAUUAAAAGCGACACAAAAACAUAAUAUACUGUAAUGAGAUGAGAAGCUGUUUAGUUUAAAACUGUUACAGAUACCCUUCUGCUCCGAUUGAUUGGUUGUAUACAUCUAUCUAUGCUGGAUCUAGAACAUCGAUCGCUUCAACCAACACUGGCAGAUAAUAAAUAGUUAGCGAUACUAUUUGAGAUGAAUGGACUUUCUCAAGCGAACAUUAAGUCUAUUAAUAUGAAUAAUGCAAACGCGGUUUACCACUGGGUUAUGUACGAAUAAUUUCGAUCAUCUCGGUAAUAUAAUUCAACAUUUUGUAUUAUAUUGCUGCACAUUAUAUUUCUAGAAUAUGAUAUUGGUAUCGUUAAUGUUUUAUACAAGUCGACAAACUAUACAAAGCCUGCAGCUAAACAAAAUCUACAGUGAAUCAUUAUUCCGUGAAUACUAUCAGUAAUUUCAAUUAAAAACCAUACUUUUUAAUGAUGCAGUGCGCAGAUAAUAUGGGUGUACUAUUAAAGAUGCAUCAUGUGAUAUUUAGAUAAAGAGAUGUUCGUUCUUACUAUAAUAGUUCGAAAACAGAUAAUGAAAAAUGAAUAUAUUGAAAAUAUCAGUCAAAUUAACGGGAUUGCCAGUCAGGUUGCUUCAUAUAUAUAUAAGUGUCUCCAAGAAAGAGAAUCAGAGUUACCUGUUAACCAACACCCAAGUUCAAUAUAAUAUGUUUAUUAUACUAAUACUUACGGUAGAAGUAGUUUGUUUAUUUUUCAGGCUAGUUUAGAUAAUUUUCGUUUUAGCUCUAUACUGAUUCUCAUUAUACCGACCAUCUUUUAAUGCUUAUAGACUUGUUAUAUCACAUUGUACAUCCAUAAAGGAUCACCCCAGAUGUUAUGUUAUAAUUGUAUGAUCAACUGUGUAUGCUGUCCUUGGUGGAUGUAAUGAUACAAUAAAAUCUUAUCUUAUCUUAA
Long non-coding RNA from Patella vulgata (common limpet), 1177 nucleotides. RefSeq lists it as uncharacterized. The record is from RefSeq and is a predicted model, not a curated record. The transcript has 2 exons. Lineage: Eukaryota; Metazoa; Mollusca; Gastropoda; Patellidae.